AGAGUUUGAUCCUGGCUCAGAUUGAACGCUGGCGGCAUGCCUAACACAUGCAAGUCGAACGGUAACAGAUAAGAUGAUCUCUUCGGAGUGAAUCUUUGCUGACGAGUGGCGGACGGGUGAGUAAUGCUUGGGAAUCUGCCCAAUAGUGGGGGAAAACUCGGGGAAACCCGGGCUAAUACCGCAUAAUCUCUACGGAGGAAAGAGGGCCUCUACAUGUAAGCUCUCGCUAAUGGAUGAGCCCAAGUCAGAUUAGCUAGUUGGUAAGGUAAUGGCUUACCAAGGCUACGAUCUGUAGCUGGUCUGAGAGGAUGAUCAGCCACACUGGGACUGAGACACGGCCCAGACUCCUACGGGAGGCAGCAGUGGGGAAUAUUGCACAAUGGGCGCAAGCCUGAUGCAGCAAUGCCGCGUGUGUGAAGAAGGCUCUAGGGUUGUAAAGCACUUUCAAUAGAGAAGAAAAGCUUGAAAUUAAUACUUUCAAGCCUUGACGUAAUCUAUACAAGAAGCACCGGCUAAUUCCGUGCCAGCAGCCGCGGUAAUACGGGAGGUGCGAGCGUUAAUCGGAAUUACUG
RNAcentral lists this ribosomal RNA (572 nucleotides) under uncultured bacterium. RNAcentral describes it as "bacterial SSU rRNA". It matches the Rfam family "Bacterial small subunit ribosomal RNA", at positions 8 to 556 of the family's 1533-position model. The record is from RNAcentral.